UACGGGAGGCAGCAGUGGGGAAUAUUGGACAAUGGGCGCAAGCCUGAUCCAGCCAUGCCGCGUGAGUGAUGAAGGCCCUAGGGUUGUAAAGCUCUUUCAGCGAGGAGGAUAAUGACGUUACUCGCAGAAGAAGCCCCGGCUAACUUCGUGCCAGCAGCCGCGGUAAUA
This 168-nucleotide ribosomal RNA is filed under the name uncultured Labrenzia sp. Its description in RNAcentral is "partial 16S ribosomal RNA". It matches the Rfam family "Bacterial small subunit ribosomal RNA", at positions 340 to 525 of the family's 1533-position model. Lineage: Bacteria; Pseudomonadati; Pseudomonadota; Alphaproteobacteria; Hyphomicrobiales; Stappiaceae. The record is from RNAcentral.